RNAcentral lists this transfer RNA (88 nucleotides) under Colletotrichum gloeosporioides Cg-14. It matches the Rfam family "tRNA". From Rfam's summary of the family: Transfer RNA (tRNA) molecules are approximately 80 nucleotides in length. Their secondary structure includes four short double-helical elements and three loops (D, anti-codon, and T loops). Lineage: Eukaryota; Fungi; Ascomycota; Sordariomycetes; Glomerellales; Glomerellaceae. The record is from Rfam by way of RNAcentral.
GGGCGAAUGGUUUAGUGGUAUAAUACUCGCUUAGCAGUUGAACUGUCUAACUUGUGAGUGGUCCAGGGUUCGAUUCCCUGUUCGUCCA